This is a long non-coding RNA of Dromaius novaehollandiae (emu), 4741 nucleotides long. RefSeq lists it as uncharacterized. Lineage: Eukaryota; Metazoa; Chordata; Aves; Casuariiformes; Dromaiidae. The record is from RefSeq and is a predicted model, not a curated record. The transcript has 3 exons.
CCGGCGACGCAGCGCGGGUCCGCGUCGUGCCCGGGCUGCGGGAGCCGGCGGGGGCGGGGAACGCGUCUGCUCUCCGCGCGGUCCCGCGUCAGUGCAAAAUGGCGGCGGAGCCCGCACCCUCACAUCUGCCUAGGCCUCGCUGAUCGCGCUGCCGUGUCGGGAUUGGAAACUACUCCUAGAGAGAAUCCUGCCUUGAACAUGCAGCAGAAAUACUGUAACAUCUUGGUUUUUGGCUUGGAUGGCUCUGUUCUGUUUCUUGCUUGUUACAAGUUUGGAAAGUUAAUUUUGCUACAGUGAAGACUGAAUGCAUGAAUUGUUUAGAACAAUGAAAACUUUGAUUAUGGAGAUUUCAACAGUACCCAGCUGCAUUAUCUGAGUGGAUACCAUGGACGACUGUAAAUCUUCGAGCUGUGAAUAUAAGCAAGUCUUAUUAAAGGUCAUAUUCUUUUUCUGUUGUGAAACUAAUCCCUGGAUGUAUUGAAUGGUUCAGUAAUCUGUUGUAUAUUUUAGAGAUUUGUUCCAGCCUUUCAGCAAUGAAACCAUUUUAUGCAUAUACAAAUUAUGUCAGAAUUUAAAUUCAACUUCAAAUCUAGAAAAUCAGCGUUUCUCUGUAGAAACAGUGGGUUUGCAUGUUAUUUUCCCUUGUGUUGUAAAAAUCAUAAAAACAGGAUGAACUAGAAAAAGAUAAGAAUUCUAGCCAUUGGAAAUGUACCGUACUCACCUCAGAAUGUUCCAUUUACUUUUUUUAUGUCUAGGCAAUGUAUAUAUUGAUGUGAGUAGAAAUUCCUUUUACUUACACAGAGUAAUAUAGCACAUAAUUUUACAAUGUGAAAACAUUGUAUACAUUGUUAAUACAGGAGUGCCUAACAAGUGUAUUGAACCGUGUGUGCUGUUGUAUAUAUUGGGUUUGAAUGAAGGUUGCCCCAUUGAUGGACAAUGAAUGCAGAAAAUAUGUUGCACUUAGGUUAUGCUAGCAUGUGUUUAGCUUUGCUUUUUCUUUCUUUCAUUUGUUAUGAAGUGUUAAGACCUUUUCUGGAGAGAUGUAGCCAGUUAGCAAACUUAACUUUUUCUAGUACUUUCUUAUUAGAAGCAAAGUUACAUAAAAUUCUAAGGAAAAAAAAAACCCUAUUUUUCCCUCUGCCAAUACAAAGAAGUAUAAGGAGAACUUUUACAUAUUGUUUUCAAAAUUUUCCUUGGAAUAGUUAUCAAUCUGUGGAUGUAUUUGAUUUGGAGUCUCAUCUCCUUUCAGAAAUUAGAAGCCUCUUUUGUGCUGCCUCUUGGAUUAAGUGAACUGUGAUGAGACAAUGAUGUUUUCUUCUACUGGCAGAAAAUGUAAUUCAGCGUAGGUAGUCUUAUGCACUGAUUUUUUAAAUCAGUUUCAGCAGAAGAUACAGUUGUUCAAAGGAACAUGACAUAAGGAUUGAAAUAUUUAGAUGCAAGGGUGAGAUAUGGUUUAAAAAUAUCUGAGAUAGAUAGUGUUGGCAAGAAAAGGAGCCAAAAGAAGGGAGCAUUUAAGAAAUACAUGAAUUUGCCUAGACAAACUUAGUCUAUGGGUACUCUUUAAAAACAUAUCGAUUUGGAUUCAAAGUGUUCCAGUACCAUCUAACCAUCUUUAAUUGAUUUAGUAUUAAUGGAGAAAAUAAAUUAUCUUAAUAGUAUAUCAUCCCACUUCUAAGAGUAAUCAAGCAUUUUCAGUUACCAGUCAUGCAUUAAUACAUACAAACUUUCACAGGAAUUAAAUAUUAUUCUUAUUGACAUGUUAGGUAUUAUACAUGUCAGUGUGUAUGGCAUGCAUAGAUUGCCUUUACUGUAUGUCAGAACAGGCUGUAUUCUUACAGUUUUAGGAGGCUUCACUUCAGAGUCCCGGUUAAGUUUCUCAAGAUAAAGCAGGCUAUGGUUAGUGAUUUUGAUUUGCGGUCAGGAUAGCUACAUAGGAUAAAAUAAUUUCUUCUAGUCUUGUAAGGAAACCAAAGAAGAUGGAGAUCACAUAACCUAUUGCAGAGUUAGACUACUGCCAGUGUUCAAAAGUGUGAGGUUCAAAGGGACCAAGUGUUAAUUUCUGAGGCUAUUUCUGAGCAGAUUUAUUUUUGUUGUUAUACACAUGAAUAGUAUAAUUAACAUGACUUAUUGUUAUGGUAUCUCAGUGGUGAAAAUAUACUGGUAUAAAACAAUAUGCUAUGUUUGCAACUCCAACUUUUUACUAGCAUUUUUUUAGGAAUAAAUGAAGGACUAAUAAGUUUAAUCUAAAGACAUAUAACUAUCGUACAAGGUCUGCUAUGUUUUCCUUUUGACCACUGGGUACAUGAUUAACUACAAUUGAAUAAACAGCAAUGAAAUUAUUAAAAAAAAAAAGUUUGCUGGUUGAGGUAAUUAUUUGUCUCAUUAGCAGUAAGCAUAUGUAACAAAGUUUAAAUUUGUUGACAUUAAGCAUAGAUAUUGGCUCAAAGUAAAUCCAAGGUCUGCAGUGUCUUAAACCUCUGAAGAGCACUGCACAGCCUAAUAAUAGUAGUGUAGCUAUAAUGAUAGACGGUCUCAGAGAAACAUAUAUUCUGCCAAAUCAGUCUGCACUUUCAAAAAUGCUAGCAUUGAAGGAGUCACAGAGAGACAGGAGGAAAUAAGGUGACACAUGUACUUCCAAUAGUGGGAUAACUAUGAAGCAUAGAUUUUACUCAUAUGAAAAGAUGUAUUUGCGUUAAAAAUAUUCCUGAUUCCAUCAUAUACUGCCUUCCAUCCCAGUUAGUUUUAGCUCACAAACAUUGAAUAAGAGGACUGUUAUCAUUUUUAUUGCAUGUUUUUCUAUAAAACAACACUGAUUCCAUCUGCAUAUAACUGUGGAUGUAAACGUGAUGUAUAAAAUGUUCGUUUUAUGUGACCAAAAUAGAAUCCUUAUUGUUCUUUUAGCCAUUUUUUACACAAACUGCAGCUGAAGACCUAGCCUACCUAAAAAAUAUUUUUUCUGUAUUGGGGGGGGGUGUCUGAUUUUGGAAUGUUGUUAAAAUAUGGAGCAGCAAAGCAAGAUCAUGGAGUCAAGGAUACAGCAAGAGGGAAUAUCAGUUCACAAAAAUAUCUGUAUGCACUGUAUUGUGCAGCAUUAAUGCCUGGAUGGUUGCCAAGUGAGUACAGUAAUUUCUUUAAUUAUGCAGUUAAAACCGUCUGCAUCACGAAGGCAAGUCUAAUUAAUUUGAAGAUCUUAUUGUUUUACGUGAUGAGAGGGGGAUAAACUUCAUGUGGUUAUUGUUGCACUUGAGACUGUAGAUAAACUUGGCAGCUGAUUUACCACCAACAAAAAAGGAAACCUUACUGAGCUGGCAAAUCAUCAAGCACUGCAGUUUUCAUUAUUACAAUCACUAACAAUUUUUUGGCAUUAGAUUAUUGAGGGAGCAUGAUUCUCUAUUGGUCAGUGCUUCCAUAAUAAUAGCAACAAUAAUUUAUUUCUUAUGCAUGAAACUGCUUCUCAGAAUAGAUAAAAAGAGAUAUUGCCUAUCCUGAGGGGCCUACAAACUCCUCAAGCAUGAUUUAAUGCAGUUAUAACAUAGAAGUGAGGGAGUUAGUCAUAACAGAUUAAUGACGAUCCUUUCUUACUGUUGAUUAUAGUAUUGGUAUUACCAAAGAACAGACUGAAAAGUAGGUUUUAAUUUUUUAAUUGGCUAGCUUCUUGUAAGAGCUGCAAAAUAAAUUGGUCUGAGGGUGGGCAUUAGUGGCAUUGCAGAUCCGUUAGGGGAAAAUCAUUUGUAGAGGGUAUGAUAGAAAGUAUAGAUGAUUACAGAGAAGGUAGAUGAAUAUUGGUGUUUUGCUACCAGCUUCAAUUUAGAGCAUGGAUUUUGUCUACAUUUACAUUCUUCUAAAACAAAUGCAAAAGUCAGGUGUGUGGUUAUUUCUAGUUUAUUCUCUUAGAGCAGUAUCAUCAAGAGGUGACAUGCCAGUUGGUUCUUAGUUGGAAAUAUGUAGAUGACUUGAUAUCAGGCCCUGCAGGCAGCACUAGGCCUCAUUGGCCCUGACCAGCCUCAUCUGGGGCCUCCACCCAACCCUGCCAUGGCCCAGGACCCCAUUUCAGCCCAGUCCAGGGCUGUCAGUUCCUGCCCAGCAAUGCCGUAGUGGUGCUGGGCUCCAGCUCUGCCACAGCCUUGCCCAGCCGCAUGCCCUGCUGAUCUGGACUUUAACCUGCAGGCUAAGUUCCCAGCCUGACCUUGGUCCAGCCUUAUCACCAUGGACCUGUCUGGCAAUCACUGCAUCUGAUUCUGAUUCUGACCUGUGGAUUGAUCUUCUAGCUUGACCUUGGACCUAUCUUAUCACCACGAACUUGCCUGGGAAGCUCAGCUCUUGGUUGAACCUGGCUGUUGUCUCUGGGUCUAUGCUGCUUGCCUUGCUUGGGUCCUGUAGGACUGAGCCCUGGUUGGUGAGGCCCCUGCCAGCUCACGGCCCUCCAUUCCUUAGGGUCAGCUGGCCAUUGCUGCUCCCUGACCCUUGGUUUUGCUAGGAACAGAGAGUGUCCUCCUUCUGGGAAGAAAAGCUUUCUGUAGUGUGUGCAAUGAAACAUCCAGAAGUACUGGCCAGUCUUGAGCCCAAUCUUAAGAGUUAUUGUAUGACUUGGUUUCCACCCACUUCUUAAAAAUCAGCUAUGUGAGCCAAGAGGUUAAUCAAAAUAUAGUUCAUAGUAUGGAAGAUGAUUUGAAAAUAAUUUUAUAGUUACUUACUGAUUUUUCUCUUUUAUAGAUGGUUAGUCCUGCCUAAUGAUAUGGUA